UACGGAGGGGGCGAGCGUUAUUCGGAAUUAUUGGGCGUAAAGGGCGCGUAGGCGGCUUGACAAGUCAAAGGUGAAAUCCCUCGGCUCAACUGAGGAACUGCCUUUGAAACUGUCUGGCUUGAGGCCGGGAGGGGGUAGCGGAAUUCCCAGUGUAGCGGUGAAAUGCGCAGAUAUCGGGAGGAACACCAAUGGCGAAGGCAGCUCGCUGGGACGGUACUGACGCUGAGGCGCGAAAGCGUGGGGAGCAAACAGG
RNAcentral lists this ribosomal RNA (253 nucleotides) under uncultured bacterium. Its description in RNAcentral is "partial 16S ribosomal RNA". It matches the Rfam family "Bacterial small subunit ribosomal RNA", at positions 524 to 776 of the family's 1533-position model. The record is from RNAcentral.